Monodelphis domestica (gray short-tailed opossum) is the source of this 1214-nucleotide long non-coding RNA. The record is from Ensembl. NCBI's taxonomy places the organism in Eukaryota, Metazoa, Chordata, Mammalia, Didelphimorphia, Didelphidae.
AACAGACAUAUGCAAAGGGGCAGACCUCUGGGCAGUCCUGGGUUAAGCUAGAGCCACCAUUGGCACAGGGAAAACAUGGACAAUGAUUGGUAGAUGUGAGAACUGAGGGGAGGGAACUUAGAUGGUUUCCUUAAAGAUAGCGAGGUCAGAGGACUAGGGGGUGGAGAGGUUUUACUCUGAGAGGUUGUGCUCUGAGAAGUUUUGCUCUGAAGGAGUCUGAGAGGAGAGAGGUCCUGGAGGGAGAGCUCCUGGAGAGGUCUGAGAGGAGGGCUUGCUCUGAAGGAGGCUGGAGGUGGAGGCCCCUGAGACUAUUUCUCCAUUUUGGUCACAUGUGUGCCACAGAAGGUAAUAGAGCGAAGGCAUAAAAAUCAGAACCAAUGAUGACAACAAGCUAUGGAUAUGAGAUAAUCAAGUCAAUGUUUCCUCUGAAUGUGGAUAGUGGUUUUUCUCAUAGACCCCUCCAAGUUGUUCAGGAUCAAUGCAUUGCCACUAAUGGAGAAGUCCAUCACCUUCGAUUGUACCACAGUGUAUCAGUCUCUGUGUACAAUGUUUUCUUGGUUCUGCUCCUUUCACUCUGCAUCAAUUUCUGGAGGUUGUUCCAGUCCCCACGGAAUUCCUCCUAGCACUCCAUCACCAACAUAUACCACAAUUUGUUCGGCCAUUCCUGAAUUGAAGGUAUCAUAGAGGUGCUGGAUUUGAGGAAGCCCAUGGAAGUAAGGAGGCCAAGACUUAUGAAAGAAAGAAGAAAAGCCCCAGGCUUAAAACAGUAUCAGUGGAAGAAGAGAAGCCAAGGAUUUCAGAUGGGAUGGAAUUUGAAGGUCAUUGGGCAGGCAGAAAAACAUCUGGUGGAGAAAACUAAUCUCCUCUGAGCAGAGCCUGCAGGGGCCAUCAUGUCAAGCUGACCAGCAUUUAGUGGAGUAUCUCCCAUCUGAAUAGUUCCCAGCAGAGGAAUAGCCAAUUGGACAGUGUGCAAGAGAGAAGUGACCAUCUGAGCAGUACUGAAAGGAUAUCAUGAGAUUGGCAGGAAGAAGACUUGUCACAUUAGCUCAUUGCCAUCACUAGGAGUCAUGGGGGGGGGGUGUCUGUGGCCUCAGAAGUGCUCAUAUCUUUUUCCUUAGAUGUUUUCCAGCCACUGAUGCUUCUUGAUUCUAUACUCCUUCAAGCAUAGCUUCUCUUCUCACUGAUUCGGUGUAAAUUUCAUGAAAUACCUUGAC